Oncorhynchus keta (chum salmon) is the source of this 974-nucleotide long non-coding RNA. RefSeq lists it as uncharacterized. The transcript has 3 exons. NCBI's taxonomy places the organism in Eukaryota, Metazoa, Chordata, Actinopteri, Salmoniformes, Salmonidae. The record is from RefSeq and is a predicted model, not a curated record.
GUUCUGUUUUUUAUUUUUUUUAUUUUACUAAUUUGGAGAUGUUGAACUAGUGCGCGUGACGGAACCAGAGCGCUUCCUCUUUGAGAGUCCACAACAUUUACAAAAGAUGCCAGGUGUAGGUGCAACCCCACAGUUCGAGAUUCAUCCAAAUAACCAGUGACACAAAACCAGCGCACCAAUAGAAUUGUUCCUCGUUAUCUGACAGAUCCCAGUCUUCCGACAGAGAGCCUGCAGCAUAUUUGCAUCCAGGGUCACAGCCAGCUAACCUGGGAGAAGGAGGAUUGUCUUUCUGCUGGGGACCAUUCGGGCUCUGGAUUCAGUUCAAGUGUAUCCUGAAUUCCACAGCGGUCUGAUGGGAGGAGUGAUUUGAACUACUUCCUUGCCGAUGACAAGCACACCCAUAACAUGAUGCAGCCACCACCAUGCUUGAAAAUAUGAAGAGUGGUACUCCGUGACUUGUUGUGUUGGAUAUGCCCCAAACAUAACGCUUUUAUUAGCCAUAUUAUUUGUUGUAUUACUUAUGUGCCUUGUUGCAAACAGGAUGCAUGUUUUGGAAUAUAUAUAUAUUUGAAUUUAGAUUAGUAUUGUGGAGUAACUACACUGUUGUUGAUCCAUCCUCAGUUUUCUCCUAUCAAAGCCAUUAAACUCUGUCAAUGUUUUAAAGUCACCAUUGGCCUCAUGGGGAAAUCCCUGAGCAUUUUCUUCCUCUCUGGCAACUCAGUUAGGAAGUAUGCCUGUAUCUUUGUAGUGAUUGGGUGUAUUGAUACACCAUCCAAACUGUAAUUAAUAACUUCACCAUGCAAAAAGGGAUAUUCAGCUACUGCUUUUUAACAUUUUGUUGUAUUCGGCGCAUGUGACAAAUACAAUAUUAUUACAUUUAAUUUCUUUUGGAGUUAAUAUAUCCAACAGUUGGAAUUUGUAUUCACCCACAACCGGCAUUCAGAAUAACUGUCAAGGUUAGGAACAUUGAUAAA